UGGGGAAUAUUGGACAAUGGGGGAAACCCUGAUCCAGCCAUCCCGCGUGUGCGAUGAAGGCCUUCGGGUUGUAAAGCACUUUUGGCAGGAAAGAAACGUCAUGGGUUAAUACCCCGUGAAACUGACGGUACCUGCAGAAUAAGCACCGGCUAACUACGUGCCAGCAGCCGCGGUAAUACGUAGGGUGCAAGCGUUAAUCGGAAUUACUGGGCGUAAAGCGUGCGCAGGCGGUUCGGAAAGAAAGAUGUGAAAGCCCAGAGCUCAACUUUGGAACUGCAUUUUUAACUAGGGGGCUAGAGUGUGUGAGAGGGAGGUGGAAUUCCGCGUGUAGCAGUGAAAUGCGUAGAUAUGCGGAGGAACACCGGUGGCGAAGGCAGCCUCCUGGGAUAAUACUGACGCUGAUGCACGAAAGCGUGGGGAGCAAACAGG
This 429-nucleotide ribosomal RNA is filed under the name Acidobacteriota bacterium. RNAcentral's name for it is "Acidobacteria bacterium partial 16S ribosomal RNA". It matches the Rfam family "Bacterial small subunit ribosomal RNA", at positions 355 to 776 of the family's 1533-position model. The record is from RNAcentral. Lineage: Bacteria; Pseudomonadati; Acidobacteriota.